RNAcentral lists this long non-coding RNA (333 nucleotides) under Mytilus galloprovincialis (Mediterranean mussel). Lineage: Eukaryota; Metazoa; Mollusca; Bivalvia; Mytilida; Mytilidae. The record is from RNAcentral.
UGGGCCAGUACUUUUACCAUGCUUUAGUGAUUUUAUAACAUUUUUUAUUUCAGAUAUUUUAAUAGGGUUAUCUGUUUGUUUUUCAUUUAAUUUUUGUUCCCUGUUUUCUACCUCUUUAGAUAUUAAAUUUUUGAAAUUUUCAUCUAUUUUAUCUGGUUCUCCUUGUGUUUUAAAGUGUUUAGCUAGCAGAUUAAGAUCAAAAAGUGGUGAAUCAUUUGAGUUUGUUUCUCUUUUAUUAAUUCCUUUUAAGAUAUUCCAAAAUUCCUUACUCUCUGUAGGAGACAGAUUUUUAAGUUUAUUUAAUAUGUUUUGUUUAUACUGCUUUCUUUUAAA